UACGUAGGGUGCAAGCGUUGUCCGGAAUUAUUGGGCGUAAAGAGCUCGUAGGUGGCGGGUCACGUCGGGUGUGAAAGCCCGGGGCUUAACCCCGGGUCUGCAUUCGAUACGGGUCUGCUGGGGUCCGGCAGGGGAGACUGGAAUUCCUGGUGUAGCGGUGAAAUGCGCAGAUAUCAGGAGGAACACCGGUGGCGAAGGCGGGUCUCUGGGCCGUUACUGACGCUGAGGAGCGAAAGCGUGGGGAGCGAACAGG
Molecule: ribosomal RNA, 253 nt
Filed under: uncultured bacterium
Lineage: Bacteria
Description: partial 16S ribosomal RNA
Rfam family: Bacterial small subunit ribosomal RNA
Source: RNAcentral